This 218-nucleotide long non-coding RNA is filed under the name Gossypium raimondii (Peruvian cotton). RNAcentral describes it as "long non-coding RNA (GRAI_LNC003684)". Lineage: Eukaryota; Viridiplantae; Streptophyta; Magnoliopsida; Malvales; Malvaceae. The record is from RNAcentral.
UCUUAAUUUUAUAGACAAAACGGCAUAGCUUUAGUCUGCGAUUUUAAUGGCUUUAGCGGCGCUAGGGAAAAACGCCACUAAAUGUGCGCAUUAGCGGCGCGUUUAUAAAAACGCCGCAGUGUUGAGCUGUUGUUUAAACAAAACGUCACCGUUUUUGUGGGCAUUAGUGGCGCUACUGUAGAAACGCCGCAAAUUUUCAAUUAUUUCUGCUUCCAAAU